UACAGGGGGUGCAAACGUUGCUCGGAAUCAUUGGGCGUAAAGCGCACGUAGGCGGUUCGUUAUGUCGGAUGUGAAAGCCCUUGGCUUAACCGAGGAAGUGCAUCCGAAACUGGCGAGCUAGAGUACUAAAGAGGAUCGCGGAAUUCCCGGUGUAGAGGUGAAAUUCGUAGAUAUCGGGAGGAACACCGGUGGCGAAGGCGGCGAUCUGGGUAGAUACUGACGCUGAGGUGCGAAAGCGUGGGGAGCAAACGGG
This 253-nucleotide ribosomal RNA is filed under the name uncultured bacterium. Its description in RNAcentral is "partial 16S ribosomal RNA". It matches the Rfam family "Bacterial small subunit ribosomal RNA", at positions 524 to 776 of the family's 1533-position model. The record is from RNAcentral.